UUUUUUUUUACACACACACAAUAGUUUAGAAUGUCAUUCAUUUGCGAUAACAUGCAAUUAAUACAACUUUCAACAAUGGAUCUCUUGGCUCUCGCAUCGAUGAAGAACGCAGCGAAAUGCGAUACGUAAUGUGAAUUGCAGAAUUCAGUGAAUCAUCGAAUCUUUGAACGCACCUUGCACCCCUUGGCAUUCCGAGGGGUACACCCGUUAGAGUGUCGCGAAAUUCUCAAACNUUCUUGGUUUCUAUGACCAAGAAGGCUUUGGACUUUGGAGGUCUUUUGCUGGCUUUGCGAAAAGUCAGCUCCUCUUAAAUGCAUUAGUGAGGUCCUCUUUGCGGAUCCUCAGGCGUUGAUAAGAUGUUUCUACGUCUGUGGGAUUUGCUCUGUUUAAUGGGAACUUGCUUCUAACCGUCUCACUCUAAGGAGACACCGUUCGAGCUGUGCUCGACCCACGAACCUUGACCUCAAAU
RNAcentral lists this ribosomal RNA (469 nucleotides) under uncultured Russula. RNAcentral describes it as "eukaryotic LSU rRNA". The stretch from base 65 to 218 matches the Rfam family "5.8S ribosomal RNA". Lineage: Eukaryota; Fungi; Basidiomycota; Agaricomycetes; Russulales; Russulaceae. The record is from RNAcentral.